AAUAUGGAGAACCCUCAACAAGCAAAUAUUAUGCAGAACAGUUCAGCUUUCCAGGACUUCUCUGGCAGACAGGGUCUGGCUGUUCCUUCAGAAAACUCACAGGAACUAGCAGGGGCACAUGCUUCUUCCUUGCAGAAUGAAGUCGGUUUAGAUCCUACAGAAGAAAGAAUAUUGUUUGGUUCAGAGGAUGAGAAUGAAGUUGGCUUAGAUCCUAACGAAGAAAGAAUAUUGUUUGGUUCAGAGGAUAAUAUAUGGGCAGCCUUUGGCAAGAGCCCUGAUAGGAAUGGGGAAGGUGGUAAUUCAUUUGAUGGUGCAGGA
Molecule: long non-coding RNA, 318 nt
Filed under: Nicotiana benthamiana
Lineage: Eukaryota; Viridiplantae; Streptophyta; Magnoliopsida; Solanales; Solanaceae
Description: long non-coding RNA (NBEN_LNC038829)
Source: RNAcentral